RNAcentral lists this long non-coding RNA (1154 nucleotides) under Anser cygnoides (Swan goose). Its description in RNAcentral is "lncRNA (ENSACDG00005018317.1)". The record is from RNAcentral. Lineage: Eukaryota; Metazoa; Chordata; Aves; Anseriformes; Anatidae.
AUGUUCUCAACUCAUCCAAUUUCAUUGUGGGACCAAAAUUUGCUCUGUGGGACUCCACUAUCUGUUUCUCUGGUUUCUUUUCCCCUGCCCCCUCCCACCCCCAACCUCCUCAGCAUACCUCCCUAUUUUUCUAGCCUUUCUUCUCACAGGCAUGGAUGGUACACAUAUGGUAAUACUCCUCUCUUUUGUGGAGCUGGAAGACCUCUGACAGAUAAGUGAGGAUCAUUCAGUCUCCUUGGAGAUGAAAAAAGACAGUGCUGCAGAAGAGAGAAGCUGACAUUUUCCAGCACCUUCGUGUACCUUCACCCAAGUGACUGCUCAUCCCUUUGGCACGGGGAGCUCAGAAAGACCCCAAAGUGAGUAGGUCUUUCCUUUUGCAGUGUUAAAAAAUAAGGCAAACUGCAAAAAUGAAUCGUUAAAUUGUGGCUUUGGCAGCCACAGCAAGAGAUAGCACUGGGUUUUGCUGCUCCCGGAGUAGGUCUGGAGUGAACUAUUACAUGGAGCCAUUCUUUUGGGAGAAUAGGAGGAGGGUGGAGUAACCUAUGUCAACCUUGAACUCUGUUCCUUCAUCCCCUCUGCAGUGUCACCCCUCUGAUCAUGCAGCUGUGGUCUGUCCAAGCUCUUCAUUGUGCCACACUGAUACCCUUGAUCGCUAUAUCAAAGAAUUUAAAGGAAAACCUGUUUUUGUGUAGAGGCAUCUUUGCUGGUUGUCAUCACUUUAGCCUCUUUUAUAGAACUGUGUGUUACAGGCCAGCGUAGUAUUCAUGAACUUCUGACCAACUUUUCCAGUCCUGUAAAAAGACUGAAAUCUAAGGUUUGGGACUCUAUUUUGCUGAUAUACCUGUACUCAAGGAUAGUUCUCUUGAUGUGUGGCUGUUAGUGCAAGUGAGGCAAGAUGUGGUUAUGAGGUAUUUUUCUGGACAAAUAAGCUUAAAAAUGGUUUAUUAACUUUAAGUAAGGUUGUUGCCAUUUGCUGCUGUACUGUAGAGCGGUCUCUGUUGAUUUACUAUUUGAAUCAGGAACUGAACUGCAUAGCAGGCUUUGAAAAUUGUGGUGUUGUCAUCUCACUUUGCUGCUCUUAAGAGGAAAGCAAGUUUGUAAUCACUGCAGAAGCAAUGAACAAUAAACCCAUGGCACAGAAUACUGCGCUAUCA